Molecule: ribosomal RNA, 428 nt
Filed under: Bacteroidota bacterium
Lineage: Bacteria; Pseudomonadati; Bacteroidota
Description: Bacteroidetes bacterium partial 16S ribosomal RNA
Rfam family: Bacterial small subunit ribosomal RNA
Source: RNAcentral
UAGGGAAUCUUCCGCAAUGGACGCAAGUCUGACGGAGCAACGCCGCGUGAGUGAAGAAGGAUUUCGGUUCGUAAAACUCUGUUGUUAGAGAAGAACAGCGCAUAGAGUAACUGUUAUGCGUGUGACGGUAUAUAACCAGAAAGCCACGGCUAACUACGUGCCAGCAGCCGCGGUAAUACGUAGGUGGCAAGCGUUGUCCGGAUUUAUUGGGCGUAAAGCGAGCGCAGGCGGUUAGAAAAGUCUGAAGUGAAAGGCAGUGGCUCAACCAUUGUAGGCUUUGGAAACUGUUUAACUUGAGUGCAGAAGGGGAGAGUGGAAUUCCAUGUGUAGCGGUGAAAUGCGUAGAUAUAUGGAGGAACACCGGUGGCGAAAGCGGCUCUCUGGUCUGUAACUGACGCUGAGGCUCGAAAGCGUGGGGAGCGAACAGG